Molecule: RNA transcript, 4009 nt
Organism: Numida meleagris (helmeted guineafowl)
Lineage: Eukaryota; Metazoa; Chordata; Aves; Galliformes; Numididae
Gene: TEX55
Gene name: chromosome 1 C3orf30 homolog
Exons: 4
Source: RefSeq, a predicted model, not a curated record
CCAAAACUGAACACAGUACUUGAGGUGCAGCCUCAGCAGGGUUGAGAACAGAGGGACUCAGAGUACAGGGAUCACCUCCCUGCAUUAUUUCUGAUACCAGCUGGCCUUCUUGGUCUCCUGAGCACACUGUUGGCUCAUGUUCAGCCUGCUGUCAACUAACACCCCCAGAUACAAUUCCGCUGCACAGCUUUCUAGCUAUGCUGCCCCAAGCCUGUAGCGACUCAUGGGGUUGUUGUGGCCAAAGUGCAGGACCCUGCACUUGGUCUUGUAGAACUUCAUCUCAUUAGCCUCAGCCCAGCGACCCAGCCUUUCCAGAUCCCUCUGUAGGACGUUCCUACCCCCAGGCAGAUCGACACAGGAUCACGGCUACAACAAAGACCACAACGAACACCACAAAUACAACCACAACUACACCCCCUCCUCCCCCUUCCCAGCGCUCCCGCCCUAACCUAAGAUGGCCGCGCGGUACCACCUACCGAGAAAAAGGGGCGAGGCCUGACGGCAGCGGUUCCCUCGGCAACCUCCCGGCGUCUUCCAUCUCUCCCGCCUGCGAUCUCAGUGACCAUUCAGAAACUGAAGUGAAGAAAUCUAGCAUACUGCCAGAUGCUAUACCACCACGUGCUAUACCACCACCUAUAGCUGAAUCUCCACUAGCACUGAAGGACUUAUCUGUGAGGGAAACACCAACAUCUGUAGGCCAAUCAUCUGUCAUGGAGUUGCCAAAGCCUGCAGACCAUCUGGUUGUUGAAAACUCGCUAGGUUCUGAAGGCCAAUUUCCCAUACCUAGGGGAAACUCAUCUGAGAUUAGAUCACCUGUGGAUGAACAGCUUGGUUUCAAAGUCAAAAUAUCCAUGUCUGAAUCCUCACAGUCUUGGAGUAAAAUGUCUCUGAAUGAAUCAUCAGCAGCUGUAGUUAAACCAACAGAGGAAGCUUGUGAAAUAUCAGAGCAGCCAACGGUGUAUGAAGACCCUUUUGAAGCCUCUGUUAACUAUGUGGAGAAACAUAAUAUUCUGCAGAUAUUUCAGGAGAUCACAAUGAAACUGUUGUACGAGAAACCUGAAGACCCCUUGCAGUUCAUGUUGCUGCAGGUGCAGUCUAUGAUAAAUGCCAGGCAGGCAGAAAUGGAAGGAGUAUCGGAAGAGCACAAAGAUACAGAGGAGUUUCUGGGAGAGGUCCUGAGCACUCCUUCAGGCUUCUACUGACCUUGCUGUUGUGGUAUUGCACAGGGCCUUUCCAGCAUCAUGCUUUUACAACCAGUGGAAGUACCUUUGAAGAAGUCUGCUGGUAUCUCUGUUUCCUGAUUUUUCUGUUCUGUACGCUUGUAUUUCCCUUUUUGUUUAAAUCCUGCAACCAAGCAUCACUUUGGAUGUGCAAACUCAAACCUGAAAGAGUGCAUGGACUUACAUGCAUAUGUGGCAUGUCCUGAAAAGGCUGGCCUGCUGAACUCUUGUCUGUUCUGUACAUGCAAAUGCACAAAUUCCACAUUUAGGCCACCUCUAGUCUCUGCUUUUCUGUGCAGAGAAACAAUACACAGUAGAAUUAAACAGUAAACCUGGACAACUCACAGUCCUUUCUUUUUCAUGCUGCAUUGGGAGCGUGCUGUCUCAAACUAUACAAUAACACCAAUGUCCAUCUAAUAGUUUGAAAUCCACACUCAGAGAGGCUGGGUCUGUGGCUUUUCUGCUGCCCCCAAAGCUCCCCUGACACAUGGAGAUGUCUCUCUUGUUUCCACACAUGUGGCUGUCUCCCCCUUAACCUGUUAGUUUCAGAUCACUCUGCUUUUUGAUGUUGUCCUGCUUGUAUCAUUGCAAGUGUAGCACGUAUUUUGAUAAACAGCUCUGUGGCUUCAAAGGAUAUUGCCAAUCAGGAAAGUGAAAGGUGAAUAAAACUAAACCAACCAAAACCAUGCACUGGUAGUACAGCAAAUUCAGAGUUAAGAAUGACACUUUGCAAAUACAUCACUUGAACUGCUUUUAAUUCUCAGAACACUUGCAAUGCUCAUUUGUAUUUUCCAAGUGUUGUUUUUCACCCUUUAAAGGACGUUUGUCUUUCUUGCCCCUUGCCUGAAGAUCACUGAAAAUGUGCAAUAGCACAUACAGUUAUUUUGCCAUUAUUUCAUGUGUAUGUGCAAUAGGUGCCAGAAAGUCUUUUGUCACUACAGACUUCUCUUUUUUAGGCAAGCGUUCUAAUUUCAUGAUGGAUGGUAGCAUGUUCCCAAAAGUCUGUCUUUGGCUAUGAAGGGAGCGCCACAGAAACUUAUCUAUCUCUUCAUAGCUAAAAGUCUGAUGAUUAGGUUGUGCGAUACACCACAGCAGAGCUUGGGCCCAAAACACUGGGAAAUAACUGAGGCAAGUAUUUGGCAUACAGAUGCUGUGUUUGAGGACGAGUUGCCUUUCAAUCAAAGGCUCUCAAAAAAGAUGAGUUAACUCUCAUUUUUCCAGGUUAAAAAAUCUCAAAAAAAAAAGUCCUAACUCCUGUGUUUCCAAGUUAAAGGCAGGUAAGCACCUCUGUCAUUCACAAAGCUGACAGGUUUUCAAGCCUAAAGGUAGCUAAAGAUCCAGAUAGAUCUUCAUAGGUUUUAUAAGAGAUGUGAUGUAGACUCAGGUGUCUAGGUCCCCCUGAGGCACUGAGAUGCUCUUGAAAGCCCUACUUAUCUUCAGCAACCAGAAGAAUUGGACCCUUAAUGAAACGGUGAUUGUUUUUCAGCCUUAUAUAUUUUUGAUCAAGAUUUUCUAGAUGGCCCUGUACAUUCACUCACUGUGAAUGUAAGAGAAGUGCUAAUAAUGUAUCUCCGUGAAACAGGAAAUGAGUGGAAGACAGCAACUUUACAUGAACGUACUGGCUGGGGCCUUUUGAUCUCUAUUGUCACUUAUCAGCACAUUUUCCAAGAGAUGAAGGUGUUGUCAUGCCUUUGAAUUUUGUUGUAAAAUGGUAUUAAGGUACUUUUGGGGACAGCCUUAGAUGUGAAAUCCCUAUGUUUCUACCAUUUGUAUAUUGUAUUUUAUUGUUCUGUUUUACUUAUGGAAACCUUGUGAGUUGUGAUAUAUUAUCAUACAAUAGGUGUAUGCCCUCAGCUUCGUAUCAGUUUUAAGUGAGUAUUGCAAGGAAAGAUCCAUAAUUUCUCCUUCAGGUAAAUUGAGAGCUGGAAAGUAGUCUUCCUACAGGUAAUGGAAGUUUUGCAAAAAAGGCCCUACACAGUGUUCCUCAGCAAUCUCAGGGCCUAAAUUUUCCUUAUCUUGUGCAAACAAAGUCAGUACAUGGUAGCAAGAAGUUCUCUCCGGUGCAAAUAAGAGAGCGGCUGUCUCUCCAUCCUAAGGAUUAAGCUUCCUCUCCUUUGAGGAGCAGCAGUUGUGGCAGCAGUUGUGUAGCAGUGUAUGUGGCUGCGCUCAGGGCAGCUCUGUGGGCCUGCAAUUGGCUUGCAUGGAUGGCAAGAAAAUGUGGAAAGAGUAGGCUUGGGAGCAAUACACCAACCCCAAGUAAGGGCUUUAAUAGAAAAUCUUGGGGAACUUCGUGAAGCAUCUGAGGAGAAAUGUUCCUUUCUUUUCCUCAAGCCUUGUAGAUAACUGGAUUGUAUUUUGAACUGUAUAUAUAUAGUAUUAAUAAAUAUAUAUAUAUAGGUUUUUUUUAAGAAACUCAGGCUAGGAACUUCAGUUUUGAAAACAAAAACAUUCUUCAGAAGGUGUGCAGAUUGUUGUGUUUAGGCUAAUACAACACCAUGGUCCUUUUUGAUUUGCUUCGAAGUUUUGCUGAAAAACAAACCUCAGCUCUAGAAAAAUUCUACCUCACAUUAAGGCACUAAUGCAUCACUGAUGUUUGUGUGUGUGAAGGCUUUUCUGCUGUGAAGAAAAGGAGAAAAGUUGGAUUUAAGAUGGAAGCAUUUACUGUGGUCUUAAUUUCAGAGUGACUGUCUUUUUUCCAUGAUUUCUUUCCCAAGCCAUUGGAUCCAUGUUUCUUCUUCAUAAGUGGACAUUUAUCAACAUGACAAUAAACUGUCAUUAAAUUUCUUGCC